Molecule: ribosomal RNA, 458 nt
Filed under: Aclista sp. M227
Lineage: Eukaryota; Metazoa; Arthropoda; Insecta; Hymenoptera; Diapriidae
Description: eukaryotic LSU rRNA
Source: RNAcentral
AAACCGUUCAGGGGUAAACCUGAGAAACCCAAAAGAUCGAAUGGGGAGAUUCAUCGUCAGCUGCUGUGGCUUCCAUGCGGUUCGCGAUGCCCGGUGCUUCGGCACCGCGGCACGUGUCCGCUGUGGUAUGUCCGUGGCGGUCGGCGUGCACUUCUCCCUUAGUAGGACGUCGCGACCCGUUGGGUGUCGGCCUACGGCCCGGGUGGUAGCCUGUCGCGUCGCAUUUACGUGCUUCGCGGUAGACCCCCGGUUGUCCGGCCGACUGCUCGGCGGUACUCGCACGGUAUCGGGCCGCACUUUGAUUGCGUCAGGCCCGCCGCAAGCGCGGCCAGCGAAUCCCGGAAUGCGGACCUAGCGCCGUUUUCGGGCCUGGCCAGCUGUUGGCUGGCGGUGUCCUUUGACUGGCUCUGUCGAAUCGAUACCGGUCGGCGACGCUACUGCUUUGGGUACUUUCAGGA